RNAcentral lists this ribosomal RNA (166 nucleotides) under Brachygobius xanthomelas (bumblebee goby). RNAcentral's name for it is "partial 12S rRNA". Lineage: Eukaryota; Metazoa; Chordata; Actinopteri; Gobiiformes; Gobiidae. The record is from RNAcentral.
CACCGCGGUUAUACGAGAGGCUCAAGUUGAAACCACACGGUGUAAAAAGUGGAUAAAACACAACUCAUUAAAGCUAAACAUCUUCUAUGCUGUUAUACGCUCAUGAAGACAGGAAGCCCUUUUACAAAAGUAGCUUUAAAAUAAAAUUACCACUAAAGCUAAAAUA